UACGGGGGGGGCAAGCGUUGUUCGGAAUUACUGGGCGUAAAGGGCUCGUAGGUGGCCAACUAAGUCGGACGUGAAAUCCCUCGGCUUAACUGGGGAACUGCGUCUGAUACUGGAUGGCUUGAGUUUGGGAGAGGGAUGCGGAAUUCCAGGUGUAGCGGUGAAAUGCGUAGAUAUCUGGAGGAACACCGGUGGCGAAGGCGGCAUCCUGGACCAACACUGACACUGAGGAGCGAAAGCCAGGGGAGCAAACGGG
This 253-nucleotide ribosomal RNA is filed under the name uncultured bacterium. RNAcentral describes it as "partial 16S ribosomal RNA". It matches the Rfam family "Bacterial small subunit ribosomal RNA", at positions 524 to 776 of the family's 1533-position model. The record is from RNAcentral.